UACGUAGGGUGCGAGCGUUGUCCGGAAUUAUUGGGCGUAAAGAGCUCGUAGGCGGUUUGUCACGUCUGCUGUGAAAUCCCGAGGCUCAACCUCGGGCCUGCAGUGGGUACGGGCAGACUGGAGUGCGGUAGGGGAGAAUGGAAUUCCUGGUGUAGCGGUGGAAUGCGCAGAUAUCAGGAGGAACACCGAUGGCGAAGGCGGGUCUCUGGGCCGAUACUGACGCUGAGGAGCGAAAGCGUGGGGAGCGAACAGG
Molecule: ribosomal RNA, 253 nt
Filed under: uncultured bacterium
Lineage: Bacteria
Description: partial 16S ribosomal RNA
Rfam family: Bacterial small subunit ribosomal RNA
Source: RNAcentral